This 5047-nucleotide long non-coding RNA is filed under the name Zea mays. RNAcentral's name for it is "long non-coding RNA (ZMAY_LNC005602)". Lineage: Eukaryota; Viridiplantae; Streptophyta; Magnoliopsida; Poales; Poaceae. The record is from RNAcentral.
CUGGGUGACUUAUUUUAAUACUACAAUAUCAAGUAGCAGUACUUUUUUCCACAAACUUGACCGAAGUUAGAAGUUUGAUUUAGCACAAGACGAAGUGAACCAUAAUGCGCACAAUUGUGGAAAAUGCCUUCUCGAACUAUGAAUUACAGAAUUGGUUCAGAUUUGCCCUGACACCAAAUCAAAAAUAAACUGAUUUUGAAUUACAGAAUUGUCAUGGUAAAUUAUCAUAACAGACAAAAAUCACCUCUGAUUGAUAAGACACUGUAACCUCAUGGAUGUCUACGCAUUAGCUCUCCAAUUCCGAAACUGACAGAUCGAUCACCAGCUGCCAGAGAUUUAGAUCGUGAGAACUUUCCCCAAAAUAACCAUGGACUACACACUGCUGCAAAAUGAAAAGCAUCAUCUACAAAUAAGCUUGUAAAUUUACUCUUUCAUGGCUGAGGCAUUGAUUAGAUAGUUGGCUGGUAACAAUUUGUAAGGCUCAGAUCGAUAUGCGCAGGAAAAAAAACUCCAAUAACAGGAAACACUAUUACUGCUACAGGCCUUUAGUUUCAUACAAGAAUGCGCUAUAGCAGUACAAAUGAUUGCCGUGAAUGAAUCUUUAAUCCAGCUACGAUUUAGUUCCCCAAAGACACCGACAGUGAUGUACAGACCAUUUAUGGAAGGUAUUUCAUAAAAACGACUGUCCAGGCCACCAGAUUCAUCAGAAACUCGUAAACUGCCGAACUAGGCUGUUCCUGCUCCUAACGUUCACAGUGAACACAUAUUAGAACCACAUAUUAGAUGAUAGAUAUGGUUCUGGAUUGUUUCAGAAAUAUACCUUCUAGAACUUCUUAGCUAGAUAGAUAGCACAUAUCAUGGAGGCAAAACUCAGCAGCACAGAUCAGUUAGCAAACGAGAGGAACACUAUCUGGGAUGGUUACCUGAGAAGGGUGGUGAUGGUUACCUAAGAAGGAUGCAAGGCGACAACUUCAUGAGAGCUCGUGUGGUUCAAUCAGUGGGAGGAGCAACAUGCAGCAGAGAUCAGAGGGCGAAGUUCUAAUAAGUUGACCUUGUGCUGUUUCACUGAUUGAAUGAUUAUAUCCCCCAAUAAAGUAUAGUAUUGACUCCUAACUAAUCUUAGCCUUUGCAGUAACUUAUGAGCCAUGACCUAAACAUGCAGGCUAUGUUCCUCAUGAUAAGAAAUAGCUCGUUCCCAUGUGAACUGCGCACACAUGGACAGGUUUUCACACAAAUGACCAAAAAAGUACAGCCACACUCAUGAUAGUAAUUUCGUAUGUCUCUCUAUUUGUUUAAUCAACCAAGAUUCAUCAAGGUCAGGGCACACAAUUAGGAUUUGUGACCAUUAAUGCCAAGGCUGGCUGCCCCAGUAUCGACACAAUAUUUGUAGAAGCACCAUGUACUCCCACCCCUCUAAAUGAACUUGGGAACAUUCGGUCGAAUAUAUAUAACAUACUACACCACCACAGCAGCAGCAACGGCAACAAUUCGUUGCAAACUGGUUACUUGUUGGUCAAACCCAUCCUAGUUUGCCAGCAAUUUGAGCAAAAUAACAAAGCUAACAAUUCAGGAUGUUGCACCGUGAUAGCUCUAUAGGGUUGGUGAGUCUGAUCAUCAGACACUAAAGAACAGUGUCAAACAAGAAAGGAAGGUUAAAAGACAAGAAACAAAAGAUCAGAAAACACAAAUUGUAUAGGAACUACCAAAAUGGAUCAGUGCUGCACCCUGAAUGGCGAUUAUAGCUGCGAUGGCCCCAAAGGUAGUAAUUGUGAAAACACAAUGCCCUCCUAAGUUCAAACUCACCCUGCUCCAACUGGAGUACAUGAUCUAACAUCUCAUGAAAUUACUGCGAUAAAUUCUGGGACGAACAAUAACCAAAAGUAUCCAUCAUGCAAACCAAGGCCAACACAAACACUCAGCAGAAUCAACGGCGGAAAUUAGGAAACGUUUCGGCCUAAAAAUGAACAAAAUUCAAGUGCGAAUACAUUAUGUUAAGACAAACGCAACAAAAGGGGGAAACUUUUUGAAUACAUGUUAUACAACAAAACAUGAAACAACAUAUCGGACUUCAUUUUUCCUUUCCUUUUCUUUCAUGAUCUUUUUUUGGGUGGGGUGUGGGGGGGCUCAGCUUCGCCUUUGCUCAUUCAUUCGACUGUAUCCUCAUCAACUCUGAUCACCGGUUCAAUUUGUUCUGAUAAGUGGACCUGCCCUGGUUAUCACCCAUGAAGAAUGGCAUGACCAUCCACGGACAAAACCACCUCAAUUAGAACAUAAUUAAAAAGGUUUCAAAAAUAAGAGGAUUCCAGUUUGGUUCCCAUAGCAGCCUUGAUUGCUCAAAGGCGCUUAUGUCAGCCAUGGUUGUUGAUCAUUGCCCCAGGUGAGAAUAAAUUUUAUCUUCUUCGUUCUUGACGAGCACUUCAGUAGGAACUUAUGAGAUGGAAGUGAACUAACUUGGCAUAUUAUUAGUCCCACUAACAAUGACCCAUAUUCAAAUACAGCAGGAAGGCAAGUGAAGAGCAACCUAUAGAACAAACAGAAUAGAAGAUUCCAGGAACCAGCUCAGAAGAUGCUAGAAUGCAGAAGUUCUCAAAUGAAAAGUCCAAUCAUCACUACCACUCAAUGACUCAAUAGUACAAAACAAAAAAGGAAGCCAUAACUCAUAAGGCAUCAUGAUAUAAACCAUAAAAAUCUUUUGUAUAUGUAAACACCAGAAAAAAGUGAAACAUGUCCCACUUGUUUGCAAAAAGCAUGGUGGGGGAAGAGAUAAGAGGAUGUAGUUUCGGGCCUGUUUGGAACGCAGAUUUCCCCAUAUGUUCUCCAGACCACCACGCUGGCAGCCCAAUCCACCAACCAUAGCCUAAAUGAACCCCAACUCAAUUCCCACCCCUUGCUGCUGCCAUGGACCCACUGGCAGCUGCUAUAGAGCCUCCAUGCCAAUGUGUCAUGACACAGAAAGGGAGGCCCUAGAGAAGUGGAGGUCCCAGGUGGCUGUUGGCUAGGUGGAGGAAUGAGGGCAAUGGAGGAUAUAAAAUUACAAUGAAACAAAUAAAAAAACAUCGAUUACAGGCUAGAUCCCAUAUCACCUAAUAAAACCCGAACCAGAAGCCAAAGCAAACCCACUCCAUGGUUCCCAAGCAUCCCCAUCUGAUCAGCUUCAUAAAGUCAACAUGAUGGUUGAUGGAGCAGGAAGGAUGGCACCAGGAAGCACAGGUCCAAGAGAGACCAGUGAUCCUAGCUUGCUGGCAUUUGGGCCUCUUUGGAAUGUAAGAAUUGUACAUGAAUCUAGCACGAAUUUCAGGUCCCCUUUGGAAUGCAGUGCUUUUUUCCUGAAACCCACAUUUCUCCUGUGAAAAAAAACGCUGAUUUCUGCAAUAUUCCUGUAUUCCACUAACAAAUUCCUAUAAAUAAAUCAGUUCAAAUUCACAUGAAAAACAAAGUAUUUGGACUGAAUGGGUGGAAGAAAGAUUUGAAUUUCGUUUACAACCGAAAUAAAUCUUAGAGCAAGAAAAUCAUUAUUGUUCUUUGAUGCUGCUGCUGGCUGCUGUGACAUAGUAAGAUAACUUCAAUUUCAACAUCAACAUGCCCCUAAUGCCAAGUUCUGACAUCAGCACCUAAGCAAUUUUUUCUUGGUUGGAAAACUUUGAAGUGAAGAAUAGUUGAAAAGACAGAAAGAAAAAAAAGAAGGGCUCAGCAUCACCUUUGCUCAAUCAUAGAAAUCAAGCCCUAUCUUCUCUUGAUGCACAAUUUACCAUCCUAAUGUAAAUGGCACUGCGCUGGUUGUCACACAUAUCCAAAUGACCUUCCUAGGCAGAACCACACAAAAAAGGGAUGAUUAAAUGUGCUUCAAGUGGGGAGAGGGUCAGCUCUAAUUAGAUACCCCCGGCUGCUUUAAUUGCUCAAUGGCAUGCAAUUGGAAAAGGUAAACAUCAUCACGCUUUUGUACUUCCUUUCUCUCUUUACAUUUGCAUUGGGAACCCUGUCCUGCUUAUUCCCUUCCCACAUCCACCUACACGUUGAAUUGAAUCCAUUUUCCCAAGAUUGGGAGUUGAGAGCAGUUAUUUUCAAUCUUACCAAAAAAACUCAAGAUCAGGAUUAGUUUUUGGAAACUCUUGGAGAUGCUCAGUAGGCAUAAUAAUGCAUACACUUACAAGCUUAAGGGGGUGUUUGGUUUUUAGGGACUAAUGUUUAGUCCCUUCAUUUUAUUCUUUUUUAGUUUAUAAAUUGCUAAAUAUAGAAACUAAAAUAAAGUUUUAGUUUCUAUAUUUGACAAAUUUGAAACUAAAAUGGAAUAAAAUGUAGGGACUAAACAUUAGUCCCUAGAAACCAAACACCCCCUGAGUUAGGAUUUGGUGCUGAGGGCCUGUUUGGUUGCGCUCCUGCUCCGGCUCCGCCGGCACCUCCAGCACCGGAGCCACAGAGUCGCCCCAAACACGGCCUCAGUUUCGCACAGCAGGAAGGGAAGAAACGGGGUUGGCACACCUGGUGGGUGCUCGUCGCCAGUAAAGUGCCCAGUUAAGACCUGGCGAAGGGCCUAACAAAGACAUGGGCACCUGGCGUAGAUAGAUAGAGAGAAAGAGAGAGAGAGGGGAGGGGGGGAGGGAGGGGGGAGAUUAAAGCCAAGCGAAGAAAAGGCAAAGAUGAACGGAAACAUCCUGAGCACAGCACAGUCAACAGCAGGGGGAGGGAGGUCACCACUGCUGCGCCGCCGCCAUUGCGUUGCAUGGUCCAUCGAUCCAUCAGGAGUGACGAAUGAGGGCAGCCCUAGCAGACCAAACCCGACUCGUAAGCCGCGUCAGGCACCACCGCACGGUUCCCAUCCCUUACCGCCACCAAUGCCAGGCAAUGGAACGGCGGCGAGGCGGCACCGUAGUGACGGCGGUGUGAAACGAUGGCCGAAACGAAGAAUGGUCCGUGCACACCCUCGAUUCGAUCUAGGGUUUGGGUUCAGGGGGUGUGCAAAGUUCUUUAGUCGCUCAUAUGGAAUUUCGAACAGUAUUGGUUGGAUGUAUAAUGUGGUGGCCACAGUCUAUAGUGUGUUUGAUAAAAG